UGAAAUGCGAUAAGUAAUGUGAAUUGCAUUAUCUCGUGAAUCAUCAAAUCUUUGAACGCACAUUGCACUCUUUGGUUCUCCAAAGAGUAUACCUGUUUGAGCAUUAGAAACCUUACUCCUAAAUUUUUUUUAGGGAUUUGAGAUUCUACUGUAUUGUAGUAUCUUUAAAAUUAUAUUGAUAUUGGGAAAUUAUUUUCAGUGGGAUAUUGAGCUUUUGUCUCUUUGAACACUAGAAUAAAUAUCCUUUGAAAUCUUUUAUAUAGGAAUCUUUUUUGAACCUUUAAUCUCAAAUCAGGUAGGAUUACCCGCUGAACUUAA
Molecule: unclassified non-coding RNA, 318 nt
Filed under: uncultured fungus
Lineage: Eukaryota; Fungi
Description: sequence contains ITS1
Rfam family: 5.8S ribosomal RNA (bases 1-106)
Source: RNAcentral